This 561-nucleotide ribosomal RNA is filed under the name uncultured bacterium. RNAcentral's name for it is "bacterial SSU rRNA". It matches the Rfam family "Bacterial small subunit ribosomal RNA", at positions 338 to 916 of the family's 1533-position model. The record is from RNAcentral.
CCUACGGGAGGCAGCAGUGGGGAAUCUUGCACAAUGGGGGAAACCCUGAUGCAGCGACGCCGCGUGAGCGAUGAAGCCCUUCGGGGUGUAAAGCUCUUUCGUCAGGGAAGAUGAUGACGGUACCUGGAGAAGCAGCUGCGGCUAACUACGUGCCAGCAGCCGCGGUAAUACGUAGGCAGCAAGCGUUGUUCGGAGUUACUGGGCGUAAAGGGUGUGUAGGCGGUUCUUUAAGUUUGGUGUGAAAUCUCCCGGCUCAACCGGGAGGGUGCGCCGAAUACUGAGGGACUUCGAGUGCGGGAGAGGAAAGUGGAAUUCCUGGUGUAGCGGUGAAAUGCGUAGAUAUCAGGAGGAACACCGGUGGUGUAGACGGCUUUCUGGACCGUAACUGACGCUGAGACACGAAAGCGUGGGUAGCAAACAGGAUUAGAUACCCUGGUAGUCCACGCCCUAAACGAUGCAUAUUUGGUGUGGGUCAUUCAGUUGAUCCGUGCCGGAGCUAACGCGUUAAAUAUGCCGCCUGGGGAGUACGGUCGCAAGAUUAAAACUCAAAGGAAUUGACGG